AUUGAACGCUGGCGGCGUGCUUAACACAUGCAAGUCGAUCGGUAACAGGUGUAGCAAUACAUGCUGACGAGAGGCGGACGGGUGAGUAAUGCUUGGGAAUCUGCCUAGUUAGUGGGGGACAACCCGGGGAAACUCGGGCUAAUACCGCAUACGCUCUACGGAGGAAAGCCGGGGACCGCAAGGCCUGGCGCUAAUAGAUGAGCCCAAGUCGGAUUAGCUAGUUGGUAGGUAACGCCUACAAGGCGACAAUCCGUAGCUGGUCUGAGAGGACGACCAGCCACACCGGAACUGAGACACGGUCCGGACUCCUACGGGAGGCAGCAGUGGGGAAUAUUGGACAAUGGGGGCAACCCUGAUCCAGCGACGCCGCGUGGGUGAAGAAGGCCUGCGGGUUGUAAAGCCCUUUCGGUGGGGAAGAAAAGUCUGACCUAAUACGUCGGGACCUUAACGUAACCCA
This 457-nucleotide ribosomal RNA is filed under the name uncultured bacterium. RNAcentral describes it as "bacterial SSU rRNA". It matches the Rfam family "Bacterial small subunit ribosomal RNA", at positions 29 to 481 of the family's 1533-position model. The record is from RNAcentral.